CUGCCAAUCAGCUCGUAGGGCAAACGCACUUCCGGUUGGGUCGUGUAGUCCAGCGGCACGAGCUGCGGCGCUAAAUCACGGUAUCGAUGAAAGAGCCUGAGCAAAGACGACAAACAUUCAACCACGACAUCUGUCACGUGCAGUCCUACGAAAAUGCAACGCAAAAACAGGCAAGGAUUUACUAAGCAGCAUUUCUGCUCCGGAAACUACCUUCUUGCAAAUGCUUUACAAUUACGAGAUGAAAAUGUCCAGUCCGGGUUUGUGGCGGUCAGUGACAGCCGCAGCUGCCGGCCACCAUAUCAUCAUACUGCUUCAGAACCACGUUCUCAUCGUCGUCGAAGUACAGCAGGUUAAUGCUGAAGAGCUUGUCCGGCACGCAGCAG
This is a long non-coding RNA of Puntigrus tetrazona (Sumatra barb), 383 nucleotides long. RefSeq lists it as uncharacterized. The record is from RefSeq and is a predicted model, not a curated record. NCBI's taxonomy places the organism in Eukaryota, Metazoa, Chordata, Actinopteri, Cypriniformes, Cyprinidae. The transcript is spliced from 3 exons.